This 489-nucleotide ribosomal RNA is filed under the name uncultured bacterium. RNAcentral describes it as "partial 16S ribosomal RNA". It matches the Rfam family "Bacterial small subunit ribosomal RNA", at positions 28 to 507 of the family's 1533-position model. The record is from RNAcentral.
GACGAACGCUGGCGGCGUGCUUAACACAUGCAAGUCGAACGGUGAAGGGACCAGCUUGCUGGUUCUGGAUGAGUGGCGAACGGGUAAGUAACACGUGAGUAACCUGCCCCCUUCUUCUGGAUAACCGCAUGAAAGUGUGGCUAAUACGGGAUAUUCUGGGUCUGUCGCAUGGCGGGCCCGGGAAAGAUAUUGCUUCGGUGGGGGAUGGGCUCGCGGCCUAUCAGCUUGUUGGUGGGGUGAUGGCCUACCAAGGCGGUGACGGGUAGCCGGCCUGAGAGGGUGGACGGUCACACUGGGACUGAGACACGGCCCAGACUCCUACGGGAGGCAGCAGUGGGGAAUAUUGCACAAUGGGCGCAAGCCUGAUGCAGCGACGCCGCGUGAGGGACGGAGGCCUUCGGGUUGUAAACCUCUUUCGCCAGUGAAGCAGGCCUGCUCCGUGUGGGUGGGUUGACGGUAGCUGGAUAAGAAGCGCCGGCUAACUACGUG